Molecule: unclassified non-coding RNA, 276 nt
Filed under: uncultured fungus
Lineage: Eukaryota; Fungi
Description: sequence contains 5.8S rRNA gene
Rfam family: 5.8S ribosomal RNA (bases 1-53)
Source: RNAcentral
GAACGCACAUUGCGCCCUUUGGUAUUCCGAAGGGCACACCUGUUCGAGCGUCAUUACACCAAUCAAGUUUUACUUGGUAUUGGGCUCUUUGUCCCUAUUUUUUAGGGACAGGCCUUAAAGACAUUGGCGGCAUAGUCCGGCUUCGAGCGUAGCAAAAAACAUCGCUUUUGGAGUUAACUGGAUUAUUGUUCCUUGUCCAUAAAAAUAGAGUAGAAAUACUCGACUUUUUUCUUAAGGUUGACCUCGGAUCAGGUGGGGAUACCCGCUGAACUUAAG